RNAcentral lists this ribosomal RNA (493 nucleotides) under Conchiformibius sp. canine oral taxon 289. RNAcentral's name for it is "bacterial SSU rRNA". It matches the Rfam family "Bacterial small subunit ribosomal RNA", at positions 9 to 496 of the family's 1533-position model. Lineage: Bacteria; Pseudomonadati; Pseudomonadota; Betaproteobacteria; Neisseriales; Neisseriaceae. The record is from RNAcentral.
GAGUUUGAUUAUGGCUCAGAUUGAACGCUGGCGGCAUGCUUUACACAUGCAAGUCGGACGGCAGCACGGGUGCUUGCACCUGGUGGCGAGUGGCGAACGGGUGAGUAAUGCAUUGGAACGUACCGAGUAGUGGGGGAUAACUGUCCGAAAGGAUAGCUAAUACCGCAUACGACCUCAGGGUGAAAGCAGGGGACCUUAGGGCCUUGCGCUAUUUGAGCGGCCAAUGUCUGAUUAGCUGGUUGGUGGGGUAAAGGCCUACCAAGGCGACGAUCAGUAGCGGGUCUGAGAGGAUGAUCCGCCACACUGGGACUGAGACACGGCCCAGACUCCUACGGGAGGCAGCAGUGGGGAAUUUUGGACAAUGGGCGCAAGCCUGAUCCAGCCAUGCCGCGUGUCUGAAGAAGGCCUUCGGGUUGUAAAGGACUUUUGUACGGGAAGAAAAGGUUGUGGAUAAUACCCAUGACUGAAGACGNACCGNAAGAAUAAGCCCCGG